RNAcentral lists this long non-coding RNA (306 nucleotides) under Mytilus galloprovincialis (Mediterranean mussel). The record is from RNAcentral. Lineage: Eukaryota; Metazoa; Mollusca; Bivalvia; Mytilida; Mytilidae.
UAAACAUCAUAAAUAAUAAUGCUAGUAUAUCACUCUAUAUAAUAAUCAAAUAUCACAGCUCAGUAAAUAUCAAAACAAUAAACAUUGCAUAUUAGAUAGACCCGUUCACAGAAAAUUAAUAUAUCUUAUAAAUAUUUAGCAAUACAUUGUACAUAUCCAAGAGCAAGAUUUCUCACUUAAAUAUUAUAAGUGUUUUCAUAAACCGAGGUUAAUAAAUGCAAUAUGAAAUAAGAUAUAUAUUAUGAAUUCUAUUAUACCUUUUUAGUUAUUUGUACAACAUGGGUGUCGGAUCAUUUUGAUGUCAAG